Long non-coding RNA from Rosa chinensis, 945 nucleotides. RefSeq lists it as uncharacterized. NCBI's taxonomy places the organism in Eukaryota, Viridiplantae, Streptophyta, Magnoliopsida, Rosales, Rosaceae. The transcript is spliced from 3 exons. The record is from RefSeq and is a predicted model, not a curated record.
CGAUGGAUUGAGAGUCGCUUUGGGUGCUUUGGGGGUUUUGCUCCCCUGCUUAUAAGCAUCACACAGGUGUGCGUUUGGUAAACCUGCUUUUGCUUAGCUUUUGGCAGAAGCCAUCGCUUCUUUUGGUCAAAAAGCCGAAGCCAGCAAUCCCAUGCUUUUAGAAGCAGGCACUGGCUUUUUCACUGUAGCGGGAGUUACUGUAGUUUAAUGAACAUUUCGAAAUACCGGGUUGUGUCCUCUCUUGCUUUCAGCCAUUACACCACACUGCCAUCAAACCCUUCUCUUCCGUGUUGAAAAGUGAAGCCUCCAGCGCCGCGCGGUGAACACUCCUCUUGCAUCUCGCUGACCGCCUCCUCUCAUUAGUGUUCGAAGCCUCAAUCCAAUCCCCAGAUUUUAAUAACCAGGCUCUGAAAAUCGAAAGCUCUGCAGAUCUCGGUCUGUGUAGGCUGGAUUCACGCCAAGUGGUCGAUACAUGAUGGUUGGUGGACACAAGGGUCAUCUAGCUAUUGUAGACAUGAAGCAAAUAAGCCUGAUUAAAGAAUUUCAGGAGGUUGAGUAUUCUGGUGGUGGCAUUCCUCUAUAUUGACAUCCAUGUUUGUUUUGGUUUGCUGCCAAUAUCAGCAAGGAUAAUGAGACUUGCAGAAAGUGAAGCAGGAGGAGAUGUGUUGCUGUGUACUGGCUGGCUAAUGGCGCAUAGCAUGUGGCCUGGUGUGGAUCAUGUGAUUCUAGAGUUUAAAUGAUAUCAACUAAAUUUUGUGGUGGGCAAAGAGCCAGUUUGUAGUACACUUUUAUUCAAGUAACUCGAUGGAUUAUCAUCAAAUCUGUAUUUUAACAGUUUGAUAUUUGCUAGCAUUGGAUGUCAAUUAGCUUUUCAGUGUGGGAUUGUAAUCCAAACUGAAUUUUACUUUAUUAGUCAUUUUAAUGCUUUGCUAGUCAAAUUAGUCA